Pelobates cultripes (western spadefoot toad) is the source of this 159-nucleotide non-coding RNA. The record is from the annotation of a GenBank genome assembly. Lineage: Eukaryota; Metazoa; Chordata; Amphibia; Anura; Pelobatidae.
GCUGACACAUCCCUGCCAAUCUCCGGCAGACCCUCCCUCCCAGACCCUCCCAUCUCCUGGACAGCAUCCAUGUUGAAGCUGCCUUCAACAUGGAUGCUGUCCAGGAAGUAGGAGGGUCUGGGAGGGAGGGUCUGCUGGAGAUUGGCCGGGAUGUGUCAG